Molecule: ribosomal RNA, 646 nt
Filed under: Bacillus sp. CSu1_31
Lineage: Bacteria; Bacillati; Bacillota; Bacilli; Caryophanales; Bacillaceae
Description: bacterial SSU rRNA
Rfam family: Bacterial small subunit ribosomal RNA
Source: RNAcentral
GUCGAGCGGACCGACGGGAGCUUGCUCCCUUAGGUCAGCGGCGGACGGGUGAGUAACACGUGGGUAACCUGCCUGUAAGACUGGGAUAACUCCGGGAAACCGGGGCUAAUACCGGAUGCUUGAUUGAACCGCAUGGUUCAAUCAUAAAAGGCGGCUUCGGCUGCCGUUUACAGAUGGACCCGCGGCGCAUUAGCUAGUUGGUGAGGUAACGGCUCACCAAGGCGACGAUGCGUAGCCGACCUGAGAGGGUGAUCGGCCACACUGGGACUGAGACACGGCCCAGACUCCUACGGGAGGCAGCAGUAGGGAAUCUUCCGCAAUGGACGAAAGUCUGACGGAGCAACGCCGCGUGAGUGAUGAAGGUUUUCGGAUCGUAAAGCUCUGUUGUUAGGGAAGAACAAGUACCGUUCGAAUAGGGCGGUACCUUGACGGUACCUAACCAGAAAGCCACGGCUAACUACGUGCCAGCAGCCGCGGUAAUACGUACGUGGCAAGCGUUGUCCGGAAUUAUUGGGCGUAAAGCGCGCGCAGGCGGUUUCUUAAGUCUGAUGUGAAAGCCCCCGGCUCAACCGGGGAGGGUCAUUGGACACUGGGGAACUUGAGUGCAGAAGAGGAGAGUGGAAUUCCACGUGUAGCGGUGAAAUGC